UGACCACUGAGACAUAGUGCUUCUUUCUGC
RNAcentral lists this non-coding RNA (30 nucleotides) under Rattus norvegicus (Norway rat). The record is from RNAcentral. Lineage: Eukaryota; Metazoa; Chordata; Mammalia; Rodentia; Muridae.